ACAAGCGGUGGAGCAUGUGGUUUAAUCGAAGCAACGCGAAGAACCUUACCAGGUCUUGACAUCCCGAUGCUAUUCUAGAGAUAGAAAGUUACUUCGGUACAUCGGUGACAGGUGGUGCAUGGUUGUCGUCAGCUCGUGUCGUGAGAUGUUGGUUAAGUCCCGCAACGAGCGCAACCCCUAUUGUUAGUUGCCAUCAUUCAGUUGGGCACUCUAGCGAGACUGCCGGUAAUAAACCGGAGGAAGGUGGGGAUGACGUCAAAUCAUCAUGCCCCUUAUGACCUGGGCUACACACGUGCUACAAUGGUUGGUACAACGAGUUGCGAGUCGGUGACGGCGAGCUAAUCUCUUAAAGCCAAUCUCAGUUCGGAUUGUAGGCUGCAACUCGCCUACAUGAAGUCGGAAUCGCUAGUAAUCGCGGAUCAGCACGCCGCGGUGAAUACGUUCCCGGGCCUU
This 453-nucleotide ribosomal RNA is filed under the name uncultured Streptococcus sp. RNAcentral describes it as "bacterial SSU rRNA". It matches the Rfam family "Bacterial small subunit ribosomal RNA", at positions 925 to 1382 of the family's 1533-position model. The record is from RNAcentral. Lineage: Bacteria; Bacillati; Bacillota; Bacilli; Lactobacillales; Streptococcaceae.